GGAUUGAACGCUGGCGGCAGGCCUAACACAUGCAAGUCGAGCGGUAGAGAGGUGCUUGCAUCUCUUGAGAGCGGCGGACGGGUGAGUAAUGCCUAGGAAUCUGCCUAGUGGUGGGGGAUAACGUUCGGAAACGGACGCUAAUACCGCAUACGUCCUACGGGAGAAGCGGGGACCUUCGGGCCUCGCGCCAUUAGAUGAGCCUAGGUCGGAUUAGCUAGGUUGGUGAGGUAAUGGCUCACCAAGGCGACGAUCCGUAACUGGUCUGAGAGGAUGAUCAGUCACACUGGAACUGACGACACGGUCCACGACUCCGUACGGGACGGCAGCGAGGUAGGGGUAAUAGUUAGGACAAGUGGGACGAAAGGCCUAGACUCCGACGCCAGUCGCCGU
RNAcentral lists this ribosomal RNA (390 nucleotides) under uncultured soil bacterium. RNAcentral's name for it is "bacterial SSU rRNA". It matches the Rfam family "Bacterial small subunit ribosomal RNA", at positions 27 to 403 of the family's 1533-position model. The record is from RNAcentral.